AAGGUUUAAAGUGAUAUCUGCAUGGAGUGUCAGUGGAGAGAAAUUAUUAUGAAUUUGGAGUGACAUGAGGAAAUUGUUAAGCUUGAUUGAUCCUGAAGUGCCUGUGUCUACCUCAACAAAUACCUGAGACACUCUUCCAAGAAUAUGUGGACUAUGAAAGUGAAGAGGCUAAAUCUGGGAUUCUACAGUACAGACAACAACAAUAAGAAUCUAGGUCAUUUGGGCAGAAGGUGUUGAUCCUGGAGACAAACCUACAGAUGUUGGUAUGGUAUUUGUAUAAGUUCUGCAAAACCUGCUGAGUGUUACCCUUGGAUGUGGGAUGCUUUUUGGACUCAUUUAUGCCCUUAAUCUUACCAGUCAGAAACACCUCAAGUACACGUUUGAAGCAUUUUAGAAACUGAUGGAAAUGGAUAAAACCAAGCUGUCACCAAAAGUCCAAGCACUGAAAGUAGCGAUGCUUUAUAUUUUAUAUAAAUUGAUAUUUCCUUCUUCAAACUUGUUUUUUCUUGUUAGCCCCUUUUUGCUAACCUUUAAGUUUUGUUAUAAAGUAGUUAA
Molecule: long non-coding RNA, 555 nt
Organism: Triplophysa rosa
Lineage: Eukaryota; Metazoa; Chordata; Actinopteri; Cypriniformes; Nemacheilidae
Exons: 3
Source: RefSeq, a predicted model, not a curated record